Long non-coding RNA from Phyllostomus discolor (pale spear-nosed bat), 175 nucleotides. RefSeq lists it as uncharacterized. Lineage: Eukaryota; Metazoa; Chordata; Mammalia; Chiroptera; Phyllostomidae. The record is from RefSeq and is a predicted model, not a curated record. The transcript has 3 exons.
UCUCUAUUUUGGGAUCACACUCAAUCCAUUCUUGUGAGUAUCUUGAUUACCAGUUUUUUUAACUCUCCAUCAGAUAGGUUGGCUAUCUCCUCAUUGCUUAGCUCUUUCUCUGCAGUUUUGCUCUGUUCUUUCAUUUGGGCCAUAUUUCUUUGUCUUAGAGUAUGUAUUAAAUUGU